UGAACGCUAGCUACAGGCUUAACACAUGCAAGUCGAGGGGAAACGAUAUUGGAAGCUUGCUUCUGAUAGGCGUCGACCGGCGCACGGGUGAGUAACGCGUAUCCAACCUGCCCAUCACUUGGGGAUAACCUUGCGAAAGUAAGACUAAUACCCAAUGACGUCUCUAGAAGACAUCUGAAAGAGAUUAAAGAUUUAUCGGUGAUGGAUGGGGAUGCGUCUGAUUAGCUUGUUGGCGGGGUAACGGCCCACCAAGGCGACGAUCAGUAGGGGUUCUGAGAGGAAGGUCCCCCACAUUGGAACUGAGACACGGUCCAAACUCCUACGGGAGGCAGCAGUGAGGAAUAUUGGUCAAUGGACGAGAGUCUGAACCAGCCAAGUAGCGUGCAGGAUGACGGCCCUAUGGGUUGUAAACUGCUUUUAUAAGGGAAUAAAGUGAGUCUCGUGAGACUUUUGCAUGUACCUUAUGAAUAAGGACCGGCUAAUUCCGUG
This 489-nucleotide ribosomal RNA is filed under the name uncultured bacterium. RNAcentral's name for it is "bacterial SSU rRNA". It matches the Rfam family "Bacterial small subunit ribosomal RNA", at positions 30 to 507 of the family's 1533-position model. The record is from RNAcentral.